RNAcentral lists this ribosomal RNA (253 nucleotides) under uncultured bacterium. RNAcentral's name for it is "partial 16S ribosomal RNA". It matches the Rfam family "Bacterial small subunit ribosomal RNA", at positions 524 to 776 of the family's 1533-position model. The record is from RNAcentral.
UACGUAGGGACCAAGCGUUGUUCGGAUUUACUGGGCGUAAAGGGCGCGUAGGCGGCUUGACAAGUCACUUGUGAAAUCUCCGGGCUUAACUCGGAACGGCCAAGUGAUACUGUCGUGCUAGAGUGCAGAAGGGGCAAUCGGAAUUCUUGGUGUAGCGGUGAAAUGCGUAGAUAUCAAGAGGAACACCUGAGGUGAAGACGGGUUGCUGGGCUGACACUGACGCUGAAGCGCGAAAGCUAGGGGAGCAAACGGG